UACGUAGGUGGCAAGCGUUGUCCGGAAUCACUGGGCGUAAAGGGUGCGUAGGCGGGUCUUUAAGUCAGGGGUGAAAUCCUGGAGCUCAACUCCAGAACUGCCUUUGAUACUGAGGAUCUUGAGUUCGGGAGAGGUGAGUGGAACUGCGAGUGUAGAGGUGAAAUUCGUAGAUAUUCGCAAGAACACCAGUGGCGAAGGCGGCUCACUGGCCCGAUACUGACGCUGAGGCACGAAAGCGUGGGGAGCAAACAGG
RNAcentral lists this ribosomal RNA (253 nucleotides) under uncultured bacterium. RNAcentral's name for it is "partial 16S ribosomal RNA". It matches the Rfam family "Bacterial small subunit ribosomal RNA", at positions 524 to 776 of the family's 1533-position model. The record is from RNAcentral.